AACGAACGCUGGCGGCAGGCUUAACACAUGCAAGUCGAGCGCCCCGCAAGGGGAGCGGCAGACGGGUGAGUAACGCGCGGGAACGUACCUUUUGGUUCGGAACAACUCCGGGAAACUGGAGCUAAUACCGGAUAAGCCCUAACGGGGAAAGAUUUAUCGCCGAAAGAUCGGCCCGCGUCGGAUUAGCUAGUUGGUGAGGUAACGGCUCACCAAGGCGACGAUCAGUAGCUGGUCUGAGAGGAUGAUCAGCCACACUGGGACUGAGACACGGCCCAGACUCCUACGGGAGGCAGCAGUGGGGAAUAUUGGACAAUGGGCGCAAGCCUGAGCCAGCCAUGCCGCGUGAGUGAUGAAGGCCUUAGGGUUGUAAAGCUCUUUUGUCCGGGAAGAUAAUGACUGUACCGGAAGAAUAAGCCCCGGCUAACUUCGUG
This 431-nucleotide ribosomal RNA is filed under the name uncultured bacterium. RNAcentral describes it as "partial 16S ribosomal RNA". It matches the Rfam family "Bacterial small subunit ribosomal RNA", at positions 29 to 507 of the family's 1533-position model. The record is from RNAcentral.